AAAAAAGCAAUCUCGAUAGAUACAUAGUUGCAAUUCCAUGCAUAUUAUCAUUAGUGGCAGAUUGGCAUGUCAGAGCCUCCGGCCACUGUGAGAAUCAGCUAGUGUUGCAUUUCACUGUUGUGGGAGUUUGACCAGACCAGCUGAUGUUACUAAAAUUCCUUUUUUCGACUGUUAUUUUAUCCAAAUUUUUUAGUUCCACUAUUGUUAGUUUUCUAUUUUUUUCCCCAAACUUGCAACAAAAGAUUUAUGGGUUGAUUUGCUGGGUAGGAUGAAACAGGACAUUCAACAGUUUAAGGCAGCCUGUGACAUUGUUCUGUUCAGAGAAACAUAUAUCAGAGUCUAUCCGAUCCUUGCAGGGAGUCUACAGCCUUUACCUAUUCCUACCAACAUAUUGCGGGGAUCUUGAUGAAUUUUAUCAUGGGUAGGUUACAAAAAGUUAAUCUUGAAGACAAAAUUCUGCUGGUGGUUGAAUUACAUGCAAAAAUAUGUCGAUGUUAUUUAUCUAACUCAUUGUUUUACUUCAAAGGAUCUAGUUGAGACUUUUCUCAAAGAGGUGGUUCAGUUGCCUGGUUUUCAGCAUCGAGUCUCGGACUGAGGCAAGGUGGCAUUUUUUAUUUAGGUUGUUUCACUUAGCUGGUACCAAAGAAAUUCAGAUUUUUUUUUAUGGUGAAUGUUAGUAAGUUAUUUCACUCUUCAAUUUCUCCACCCGAACCACCAAGCCAGCCUUAUACAUCCAAGACAAACAAACAAAUUAUGUUUUACUUACUAUCUGAAAUCAAACGGCUAAUCAAAAGUGAUGAAUAAGUGUUUGGAGAUCGAUAUGAGAAGCUCGACAGAUGAAAAAACAAAACAAUGGCACAAAUGUGACCUAAUAUGACCAAGACCCUUCUAUGUUACCGAAAGAAACUACUUUUCCCUCAGCAACUGGGGAAG
This 933-nucleotide long non-coding RNA is filed under the name Trifolium pratense (red clover). RNAcentral describes it as "long non-coding RNA (TPRA_LNC006853)". The record is from RNAcentral. Lineage: Eukaryota; Viridiplantae; Streptophyta; Magnoliopsida; Fabales; Fabaceae.